CAUAGGUUUGGUCCCAGCCUUCCUGUUAACUCUCAACAGACUUACACAUGCAAGCAUCCACGCCCCGGUGAGUAACGCCCUCCAAAUCAAUAAGACUAAGAGGAGCAGGUAUCAAGCACACAUCUUGUAGCUUACAACGCCUCGCUUAACCACACCCCUACGGGAGACAGCAGUGACAAAAAUUAAGCCAUAAACGAAAGUUUGACUAAGCCAUGUUGACCAGGGUUGGUAAAUCUCGUGCCAGCCACCGCGGUCAUACGAUUAACCCAAGCUAACAGGAAUACGGCGUAAAACGUGUUAAAGCACUACACCAAAUAGAGUUAAAUUCUAAUUAAACUGUAAAAAGCCAUAAUUACAACAAAAAUAGAUGACGAAAGUAACCCUACUGCAGCUGAUACACUAUAGCUAAGACCCAAACUGGGAUUAGAUACCCCACUAUGCUUAGCCCUAAACACAAAUAAUUACAGAAACAAAAUUAUUCGCCAGAGUACUACCGGCAACAGCCCGAAACUCAAAGGACUUGGCGGUGCUUUAUACCCUUCUAGAGGAGCCUGUUCUAUAAUCGAUAA
This 569-nucleotide ribosomal RNA is filed under the name Capra hircus (goat). RNAcentral's name for it is "12S ribosomal RNA". It matches the Rfam family "Bacterial small subunit ribosomal RNA", at positions 9 to 957 of the family's 1533-position model. The record is from RNAcentral. Lineage: Eukaryota; Metazoa; Chordata; Mammalia; Artiodactyla; Bovidae.